Molecule: ribosomal RNA, 497 nt
Filed under: uncultured bacterium
Lineage: Bacteria
Description: partial 16S ribosomal RNA
Rfam family: Bacterial small subunit ribosomal RNA
Source: RNAcentral
GAUGAACGCUGGCGGCGUGCCUAAUACAUGCAAGUCGAGCGAACGGACGAGAAGCUUGCUUUUCUGAUGUUAGCGGCGGACGGGUGAGUAACACGUGGAUAACCUACCUAUAAGACUGGGAUAACUUCGGGAAACCGGAGCUAAUACCGGAUAAUAUUUUGAACCGCAUGGUUCAAAAGUGAAAGACGGUCUUGCUGUCACUUAUAGAUGGAUCCGCGCUGCAUUAGCUAGUUGGUAAGGUAACGGCUUACCAAGGCAACGAUGCAUAGCCGACCUGAGAGGGUGACCGGCCACACUGGAACUGAGACACGGUCCAGCCUCCUACGGGAGGCAGCAGUAGGGAAUCUUCCGCAAUGGGCGAAAGCCUGACGGAGCAACGCCGCGUGAGUGAUGAAGGUCUUCGGAUCGUAAAACUCUGUUAUUAGGGAAGAACAUAUGUGUAAGUAACUGUGCACAUCUUGACGGUACCUAAUCAGAAAGCCACGGCUAACUACGUG